This 434-nucleotide ribosomal RNA is filed under the name uncultured Anaerovorax sp. RNAcentral describes it as "partial 16S ribosomal RNA". It matches the Rfam family "Bacterial small subunit ribosomal RNA", at positions 341 to 792 of the family's 1533-position model. Lineage: Bacteria; Bacillati; Bacillota; Clostridia; Peptostreptococcales; Anaerovoracaceae. The record is from RNAcentral.
ACGGGAGGCAGCAGUGGGGAAUAUUGCACAAUGGGGGAAACCCUGAUGCAGCAACGCCGCGUGAGCGAUGAAGGUCUUCGGAUCGUAAAGCUCUGUCCUUGGGGACGAAUAAUGACGGUACCCUUGGAGGAAGCCCCGGCUAACUACGUGCCAGCAGCCGCGGUAAUACGUAGGGGGCAAGCGUUAUCCGGAAUUAUUGGGCGUAAAGAGUACGUAGGUGGCUUUGUAAGCGAGAGGUGAAAGCCCGGGGCUUAACUCCGGUAAGCCUUUCGAACUGCAAGGCUUGAGUGCAGGAGGGGAAAGUGGAAUUCCUAGUGUAGCGGUGAAAUGCGUAGAUAUUAGGAGGAACACCGGUGGCGAAGGCGACUUUCUGGACUGUAACUGACACUGAGGUACGAAAGCGUGGGGAGCAAACAGGAUUAGAUACCCUGGUA